CCGUGCGCUCGGGUGCGGAUUCCGGGCCUCGCCGGCCGAGGGAGUCGGGCAGGGCCCCGCGGCUGCUACCCCUGGGAGGGGAGCAGUGACCAAGUUUCCCGGCUGAGCCGAGGGACCUCGCCCGGCCGCGGGCCGCUUGUCCCCAGCUCUCCCGAGCCGGCCGGGUCCCGCCCCACCUCUUCGCGUCCUCCGCCUGGCUCUGCUCUCCGCCUCCAGCGUUUCCUCUCCCUCCCAGGGUCCCCACCCUCCUGGUUCUCUCGCGCGCCCAUCUCCUUCCCGACCCCUUCCCACCCACCUUGUCCCCCGCCCCCACGCUCCGGCAGUUUGUGCCUGGGAGAGUCCCAAACAACACUCUUAAAGCCAAUAAACCCAGAAUGUCAGCACUUCUCAAACCGUGCGAUGUCCUGUCGCUUCUGGAGAGCAAAUUGACCCGGGGUGGAUUUGGAUCGGCUUCCCGGGAGAGGCUCUAAAGCUUUCAAAAUUGCUAAGUCAGGAGACAACUGGUUAUUUUCCUAGCACCUUUGCAGGCUGAGGACUUCAUCUUUCUCAGACGCCCCCAGCCCAGGGACAUUAACCCAUUGCUCAGAUGGAGGACGUGGAGCAGGGAGAUUCUUUGAAGUGGGAAGCAUUUCUCUGUGUGCCCACACCUUACUCUUCGAUCUGGAAGUUUUCAUAGGAGGAAGUUUGCGUUCCUGAAGAACCCUGCUCUACAGCAAACCCUAACAUGAUAGAAGCCUCACCUUAGAGGAAAAUGGAAGAGUUGGAGACGCACAGUGACUACUGAUACGAAGGAAUUCUCUUGUUGACAAAAGUGAGAGAAACUCCAGCAGCACAAAUCAGUGUUUCCAUGUCCCAAGAUGCAAGGAGAGAAUUUGGAAUGGGAGGGAAAACAACAGCAGGAAAUGAAAUGCUUGCCUAGAGAAUUCUAAGCAAAUCAGUCACUAGUCCAAGCAGGAGUUUUUGUGUGUUUUUUUUUUAAUAUUCACUUCCAAUUUGUUUUACUCAAUUCAGAAAUUUUUCCCAAGGGGAGGUGGUCAGGAAAAAAAAAAACCAUUAACAGGAAGAUGAAUUGGGCCACAACUUCUGAAUGGUUUGCAGCGCUAAUGGAGAUGGUGGAAGUUCAGUUCUAGGAAUGAAAGAAAACCGUGGCUCACAUUCUGUUUUCCAUCUGUGUGGUAGAUUUUAAGCUGGGUAUUCUAUAAGGCUUCACUUGGCUGAAGAACAACUGUGGCCCUGAAUUUUCAUUUAUUUUUUUUUAAAUGAAAGGAUAUUUGUUGUCUUUCCAAAAUGUUGACAUUUUAAAUCAUUCUUACUUUGCAA
This is a long non-coding RNA of Cavia porcellus (domestic guinea pig), 1320 nucleotides long. RefSeq lists it as uncharacterized. NCBI's taxonomy places the organism in Eukaryota, Metazoa, Chordata, Mammalia, Rodentia, Caviidae. The transcript has 3 exons. The record is from RefSeq and is a predicted model, not a curated record.